GAUGAACGCUGGCGGCGUGCCUAAUACAUGCAAGUCGAGCGAACAGACGAGGAGCUUGCUCCUCUGACGUUAGCGGCGGACGGGUGAGUAACACGUGGAUAACCUACCUAUAAGACUGGGAUAACUUCGGGAAACCGGAGCUAAUACCGGAUAAUAUAUUGAACCACAUGGUUCAAUAGUGAAAGACGGUUUUGCUUUCACUUAUAGAUGUAUCCGCGCCGCAUUAGCUAGUUGGUAAGGUAACGGCUUACCAAGGCAACGAUGCGUAGCCGACCUGAGAGGGUGAUCGGCCACACUGGACCUGAGACACGGUCCAGCCUCCUACGGGGGGCAGCAGUAGGGAAUCUUCCGCAAUGGGCGAAAGCAUGACGGAGCAGCGCCGCGUGAGUGAUGAAGGUCUUCGGAUCGUAAAACUCUGUUAUUAGGGAAGAACAAAUGUGUAAGUAACUAUGCACGUAUUGACGGUACCUAAUCAGAAAGCCACGGCUAACUACGUG
Molecule: ribosomal RNA, 497 nt
Filed under: uncultured bacterium
Lineage: Bacteria
Description: partial 16S ribosomal RNA
Rfam family: Bacterial small subunit ribosomal RNA
Source: RNAcentral